This is a long non-coding RNA of Vespa crabro (European hornet), 1945 nucleotides long. RefSeq lists it as uncharacterized. Lineage: Eukaryota; Metazoa; Arthropoda; Insecta; Hymenoptera; Vespidae. The record is from RefSeq and is a predicted model, not a curated record. The transcript has 4 exons.
UGUACUAUAGUACGAAUCAUCUAUCAAAUACGAUGGAUAGGUUCGUAACGCAUGUUAUUUCCUUUAACUCGGUAUUAAUAUCUCGAAAAUAACAAACAAUUGAAAUUUUACAUAUUCCAUAGAAAUAAAUUCUAAUAUUUUUAUUAAUUCAAUCAAUGAAUCUCGAACGAACAGAUACAAAUCUUUUACACCGAACUCAUUUCCUAUUUUUAUACGUCAUAUCGUAUCCACGUUGAAAAAGAGAACAUAAAAACAUAUUAUAGCUUAAAGCUGUGUCUACGAGUCUUCACAAAUCAUCUCCCUUGACUUUGGAUGAGGUUUACAUAAAAACUUUUACUCUUUUUUGAGCUAAAUUUACGAGUUCGAAAUAAAAGAAGCGUAGGAUAACCGUAGAGAUAGGAAAAAUCCAUAGCAACAGAAAGCUAUGAAACAUGAAAAAUAAUAUUUUGACUAGAAGAAACGAGUCGAGACACAUUACAACCUAACGCGUUGAUUAGUGUUGAUUAAUCUUUCACGUCAUUUCAUCGAUCUUUCAUGUCAUUUUUCACGCGUUGUCACGUUUCUUCAGCUGGUCUAGAAAAAUCGAUGCAUUUGUUUUUACAAAACGUGAUGUUUAAUGAUCACACACGUAUAUCGAUCUCUUAUAAAUUCUAUUCAAUUUAAUAACAAUAUUAAUUUCUUUUUAUUUUUUUUUUAUUUUUUAAUGUAACGAAAUUUUGUCUAGUUGCCGAUUCAUUCCAUUUAACAUCCGACGCUGUUUUCGUCAACGGUUUUUCAGGUCUCCCCUACAAUAUCGAAAAGCAAAACAAACUUUUCCCCAACCCAAAGCUUUUCUGAUUUACACUUGAAUAAUCUCAGAUCAAAAGGCAUAACCAAAUAUGUGAUUUGUAUACCAACGAUACCGCACUUUUAAUAGUACGAACGUACGAAACAUACGGAACAGUUGGCUCUAGAAGGGGAGGUGAUCAUCUUCACAGAGAAGUUUCUUUGCCAAUUAAGAGAGUAAUAAGACGAGUUAAGGGCAAUUGGAGAAAUUAGUCGCGUGCAAUGGCUCGGGGAGACUGUCUUAUUGUCAUCAGUCUGGGAAUUUCAAAGGAAGACGCCACGAGAAAAGUGAAAAAGAACGAGAAUAGAAGACAAGAAGGAAGAUAUAAAAGACGAGAAAAUACAAAGAGAAGGCAGUACGUUGACGCAGAAAUUUAUACGAACGUCAGAAUGUAGGUCGAAAAAUAGAAAGAAAGGCAUCUUCGACAAGCUGAAUAGCAUUAUUAAAUGUUCGAUUAAACUUGGUAAGGUGGCAGAUUUUCUCCGCAAAUGAGAGUCAUUUAAGGAAGAUUGUGAAUCACAUUCGAUGGCCGUUGAAAGGCAAGAUUAGUCGAAAACAUUAUUCAUUGAAAAUAAAGAGAAGAUCAUAUUCUAAUAUUCCUUUCUACAAAUUCGAAAGUAUACUCAUAUUGAGUAAAGAAUAUAAAAAAAUGAAAAAGUGACUUUAUCCUUAAAAAUAACUAAAUUUCUCUCACGAGAUGAUGAUAAUUAUAUUCUAUUUAAAAAUAUUUGAGAAUAGAUGAAACGAAUAAUCAGAAAAUUUAAGAUGAAAAUAAUUUGUAAAUAAUAUUUAUCGAGAAUCUUUAAAAUGUUCCAAAAUUUUAACAUUAAGGACGAAUAAAUAUUAAAAAGAUAAUAAUACUCUUAGGCUUGUAAAUCGACGAUCAAGCCGAUAUCGGUCUAUUAUUACGUGUUUUUUAACGUUACUAUGGAAACCCUUUUGCGAGGUAAACUCGCCUCGAAGAACGUAAACGCUGCCCUCACGGUGCACUCACGAAGGGUGUUCGCAACCCCGUAACGAUUUCCUUUUCCAACGUUAAACCGCAUGACGUCAAACUGUGCACCUGGCAUCGAUGAGGAACUCAUUAAAGGACGAUGAAUGAACAAAAAAAAAAAAAAA